CCAUUCCCAAGGCUUUGACCCCUAAAAUGCCACCCUGACAAGCUUCUCAAUGGGUCCAGAUCACCAGCUCCCCCAAACCCCACUUAUUCCCAUGUUCCCCAGUCCCAGGUGGCCAUCUACUAAAUAAUGAUGGCAUUUGUUAAGCGUUUACUAUGUGCCAAGCACUGUUCUAAGCACUGGGGGAGAUAUGAGGUAAUCAGGGUGUCCCAUGUGGGGCUCACAGUCUUCAUCCCCAUUUUAAUCAUAAUAAUAACGUUGGUAUUCAUUAAGCACUUUACUAUGUGCCGAGCACUGUUCUAAGCGCUGGGGUAGAUACAGAGUCAUCAGGUUGUCCCACGUGAGGCUCACAGUCUUCAUACAGAUGCGGUCACUGAGGCCCAGUGAAGUGACUUGCCCACAGUCACACAGCUGACAAGUGGCAGAGCUGGGAUUCGAACCCAUGACCUCUGACUCCCAAGCCCGGGCUCUUUCCACUGAGCCGUGCUGCAGAUUUUCCAGGUGAGGGAACUGAGGCCCAGAGAAGUGAAGUGACCUGCCCACAGUCACACAGCUGAUAAGGGGCAGAGCCGGGAUUCGAACCUACAACCUCUGACUCCCAAGCCCGGGCUCCUUCCACUGAGCCACGCCGCUUCGCUACAGCACAGGCCCGGGAGCGAGAAGGACCCGGGUUCUAGUCCCGGCUCCGCCGCUUGCCCACUGCGCCACUUCCCGGGCCUCGGUUUUCCCAUCUGUCAAACGGGGAUGAAGACCGCGCGCCCCACGUGGGACGGGGACUGCGUCCAGCCCCAAUCUCCGUCAUCGACCCCAGCGCUUGGCCCAGCGCUCGGCGGGCAGUAAGCGCUGAAGAAGUUCUCUCGUUCUUCCUAUUGCCGCCGGUUGUGGUGAGCCCACCUGGUCAGGGCCAUUUUCCUUUUGCCGUUGGGCGGGGGCUCGGGCUUCGGCCCGUGGGCCGGGCCGCCGUCUUCUGCCACCUCGGUCGGUCCUUCUUUCGCCCGGCCACGGCCGCCGGCCCCCUCGGCCUGCCCCCGGGGGGCUUCUCCUCCCGCCCCGCCGCCUUCCCCGCCCUUCGACGCCUCCAUCCGAGGCCCCGGGACCACAUCUUCUUCCCCGACCGCCCUGUCCAUCCUUCUCCCGCCCCGACCUUUCCUCCCUCCUCUGCCCUGCCUCGACUCCCUCGCGACGCGCUCCCCUCACUGGCUCUUCUCUCUUUCCAAGCUCUUCCCCCUCGGCGCUCUUUCCUCACAGACUCUUCUCUCCCAGCACGCUCUCUUUACAAGCUCCUUCCUCACAACGCUCUCCCUUUAUAAGCUCUCCCCUCACAGCGAUCUCCCUUUACAGCGCUCUCCCUUUACAAGUUCUCCCUGCACAGCGCUCUCCCUUUAUUAAGCUCUUCCCUCACAACGCUCUCCCUUUACAAACUCUUCUCUCACCACGCUCUCCCUUUACAAUCUCUCCCCCGCACAGCGCUCUCCCUUUACAAGCUCCCCCCCGCACAGCGCUCUCUCUCCCCUGCACAGCGCUCUCCCUUUACAAGCUCCCCCCCGCACAGCGCUCUCUCUCCCCUGCACAGCGCUCUCCCUUUACAAGCUCCCCCCCCGCACAGCGCUCUCCUCCCCGCUCAGCGCUCUCCCUUUACAAGCUCCCUCCCCGCACAACGCUCUCUCCCCCGCACAGCGCUCUCCCUUUACAAGCUCCCCCCGCCGCACAGCGCUCUCCUCCCCGCUCAGCGCUCUCGCUUUACAAGCUCCCUCCCCGCACAGCGCUCUCCCCCCCCGCACAGCGCUCUCUCUCCCCUGCACAGCGCUCUCCCUUUACAAGCUCCCCCCCCCGCACAGCGCUCUCUCUCCCCCGCACAGCGCUCUCCCUUUACAAGCUCUCCCCGCUCAGCGCUCUUUCCCCCCGCACAGCGCUCUGCCCCUCCCCCCCGGCGCCUCCACGUGCAGCCCCCGCCGGCAAAGCGCUGGGGCCCAGCCGUAAUCCAAGCCGCGGCGGCCGGCUCGCACGCACGCCGUUUUACGACGCCGAAAGUCUUUACGGCGCCGCCCCCUCUGCUGGCCGAAGGCGGAGGGGAGGGAGGGGUGGAGCGUGAUUACGUCACAGGGGGCGGGGCUACGUCGCAGAGGGGCGGGGCAAGAGCGAAGCUGCCCCCCCCCCCCCCGCCGCCGCCUUUCUCCCU
Molecule: long non-coding RNA, 2176 nt
Filed under: Ornithorhynchus anatinus (platypus)
Lineage: Eukaryota; Metazoa; Chordata; Mammalia; Monotremata; Ornithorhynchidae
Description: lncRNA (ENSOANG00000041588.1)
Source: RNAcentral